AACGUGAUGAGAGUGCCCUUCCCCCCAGGGACACAUGGCGGCCCAGGCUCCACCAGCUCUGUUUUCGUGCGGCGGCAGGUCAGGCUGGGCAGAAUUGUCAGGCCGAGGGUGGCACGCACACCACACCUCUCCAGCUAGUGUCAGAGGCCACCUUCCCUUUUAUGACCUCCUGGGCUCCUUUGGGACUGACUGGCACCUCUUCCCCCAGGACCUGCAAGCGCAGGACCGAGCCCACCGCAUCGGGCAGCAGAACGAGGUGCGUGUGCUCCGCCUCUGCACCGUCAACAGCGUGGAGGAGAAGAUCCUAGCUGCAGCCAAGUACAAGCUCAACGUGGACCAGAAGGUGAUCCAGGCCGGCAUGUUCGACCAGAAGUCCUCCAGCCACGAGCGGCGCGCCUUCCUGCAGGCCAUCCUGGAGCACGAGGAGCAGGACGAGAGCAGACACUGCAGCACGGGCAGCGGCAGUGCCAGCUUCGCCCACACUGCCCCUCCGCCAGCGGGCGUCAACCCCGACUUGGAGGAGCCACCUCUAAAGGAGGAAGACGAGGUGCCCGACGAC
This 559-nucleotide small RNA is filed under the name Pan troglodytes (chimpanzee). Its description in RNAcentral is "retained intron". Lineage: Eukaryota; Metazoa; Chordata; Mammalia; Primates; Hominidae. The record is from RNAcentral.